Molecule: unclassified non-coding RNA, 240 nt
Filed under: soil metagenome
Description: partial contains 5.8S ribosomal RNA, internal transcribed spacer 2, and large subunit ribosomal RNA
Source: RNAcentral
AACCAUAGAAACCUGCGGAGUACCUGCGGAAGGAUCAUUACCGAGUUUACAAACUCCCAACCCUAUGUGAACCUUACCAAUCGUUGCUUCGGCGGGCUUAGCCCCCGCGCCCUCGCCGGCGCCGGGAGAAAGGCGCCCGCCGGGGACCCCAAACCCAAUGUUUUUCAUGCAGUAUUUCUGAGUGGCAAACGCAAAAAUAAAUCAAAACUUUUAGCAACGGAUCUCAGAUCGGAAGAGCAC